This 201-nucleotide ribosomal RNA is filed under the name uncultured bacterium. Its description in RNAcentral is "partial 16S ribosomal RNA". It matches the Rfam family "Bacterial small subunit ribosomal RNA", at positions 1299 to 1500 of the family's 1533-position model. The record is from RNAcentral.
UGCAGCCUGCAACUCGGCUGCAUGAAGCUGGAAUCGCUAGUAAUCGCGGAUCAGAAUGCCGCGGUGAAUACGUUCCCGGGCCUUGUACACACCGCCCGUCACACCAUGAGAGUCGGGAACACCCGAAGUCCGUAGCCUAACCGCAAGGGGGCGCGGCCGAAGGUGGGUUCGAUAAUUGGGGUGAAGUCGUAACAAGGUAGC